RNAcentral lists this long non-coding RNA (905 nucleotides) under Capsella rubella. RNAcentral's name for it is "long non-coding RNA (CRUB_LNC002091)". Lineage: Eukaryota; Viridiplantae; Streptophyta; Magnoliopsida; Brassicales; Brassicaceae. The record is from RNAcentral.
AUCCGAAAUAACCAUUUUUUUAUUAUUGGGCAUGUGAAAAAAACUCACUAGGCCAAACUGAAAUAAAUAAAGGCCCGUUAUAAAAUUAAUGAGGAAAUACAAAGGUCCGGCCCAAAUCUUUGUCACCUCUCACUCUUCUCUGUUCGCCCUAGCCGCCAAAGAGAGGAUCUGGUUUUUUGACGACCAAAGAAGAAGAAAAUAAAUCUAAGAGGAAGGAGAUCACUGAGUAAAGAGAUUGGAGAAGAAGAAGACUAAGGAGGAAGAUGAUAAAAUGAUAAAGAAUAAGAAGAUGAGAUAAGAAUGAGAAAGGGUGUGUUCUCUCACACGACUAGAGAUGAAGAGUAAGGAGGAGAAAGAGAAAGAGAAGAAGAAUUACAAAAUGGAGAUUGGAGAAGAUGAGAAAAACAAACAAAGAAGAAGAAGUAGCGUAUAAUUAGAGUUUUGUGUUUUCUUCGGUUAACCGUUCGGUUAGACUAAACCGAACCGAACCGAAUCGCUAACCGAAUAAAAUUAUUAAUGUUACCGAUCGGUUUUCGCAUAAUAACCGAACCCGGACCAAAACCCAUAAAUCUCGGUUCGGUUCGGUUUGGUUUUUUUUCCCAGGACUAUUAAAAUCGUUCAACCUAUACUUUAUCCCAAGCUAUCUAAUUGUAAUGUUGUAAGUUUUGAUAUAACUAAUUUUAGAAAGCAUUAAUGAGGGCAUCGCUUAUGUAGGUAUAGCAAUACCUACAAACCUGAUUAUAACCUUUAUAAUUCCUUUAAUUUUUGAAGAUGUAAUGUUUGUGAAGAUAUUGGUUUAUAGGUUUUAAUUUACUUUAUAAGUCAGAAAAAAAUAUGUGUUAUUGAAUUUGUAAACUCCUUAAACAAAUUGUACUGUUAGAAGCUCUCCAAAAAAACUAUAUAGA